Molecule: ribosomal RNA, 253 nt
Filed under: uncultured bacterium
Lineage: Bacteria
Description: partial 16S ribosomal RNA
Rfam family: Bacterial small subunit ribosomal RNA
Source: RNAcentral
UACAGAGGUCCCGAGCGUUGUUCGGAUUCACUGGGCGUAAAGGGUGCGUAGGUGGCAUGGUAAGUUUGAUGUGAAAGCUCAGGGCUUAACCCUGAAAUGGCAUUGAAUACUACUGUGCUGGAGGCUUGGAGGGGGGACUGGAAUUCUUGGUGUAGCAGUGAAAUGCGUAGAUAUCAAGAGGAACACCAGUGGCGAAGGCGAGUCCCUGGACAACACCUGACACUGAGGCACGAAAGCUAGGGGAGCAAACAGG